AGAGUUUGAUCCUGGCUCAGGAUGAACGCUAGCGGCAGGCCUAAUACAUGCAAGUCGAACGGUGAUAUUUAUAUCAUAGUGGCGCACGGGUGCGUAACACGUAUGCAACCUACCUAUUAUUGGGGGAUAGCCUUUGGAAACGGAGAUUAAUACCGCAUAAUACGAUUAACUGGCAUCGGUUGAUUGUUAAAGCAUUUGCGAUAAUAGAUGGGCAUGCGUCCAAUUAGUUAGUUGGUGUGGUAAUGGCUCACCAAGACGAUGAUUGGUAGGGGAUCUGAGAGGAUAAUCCCCCACACUGGCACUGAGAUACGGGCCACACUCCUACGGGAGGCAGCAGUAGGGAAUAUUGGGCAAUGGGCGAAAGCCUGACCCACCCAUGCCGCGUGCAGGAAGACGGCGUUAUGCGUUGUAAACUGCUUUUUUAUAGGAAGAAGGAUCCCUUGCGAGGGAAGGUGACGGUACUAUAAGAAUAAGCACCGGCUAACUCCGUGCCAGCAGCCGCGGUAAUACGGAGGGUGCAAGCGUUGUCCGGAUUUAUUGGGUUUAAAGGGUGCGUAGGCGGUUUAUUAAGUCAGUGGUGAAAGACGGUCGCUCAACGAUUGCAGUGCCAUUGAUACUGGUAGACUUGAGUGAGAU
RNAcentral lists this ribosomal RNA (636 nucleotides) under uncultured bacterium. Its description in RNAcentral is "bacterial SSU rRNA". It matches the Rfam family "Bacterial small subunit ribosomal RNA", at positions 8 to 652 of the family's 1533-position model. The record is from RNAcentral.